Molecule: ribosomal RNA, 1977 nt
Filed under: Candidatus Gottesmanbacteria bacterium RIFCSPLOWO2_02_FULL_42_29
Lineage: Bacteria; Candidatus Gottesmaniibacteriota
Description: bacterial LSU rRNA
Rfam family: Bacterial large subunit ribosomal RNA
Source: RNAcentral
GCCUACUUGCACCUGGACAAAAAGACCCCGUGGAGCUUUACUGUAGCUUGGCAUUGGGAAGACGUUUGAAACUGUCGAGUAUAGGAGGGACCCCGCCGCAAGGCGGGGAACAGUGGAAUACCUCUCUUUUUAAUCGUUAACCCUAAUCUCUUGGCCGCUCAAACAACCGGCAGGGAGACAGUGUCUGGUGGGCAGUUUCGCUGGGGAGGUGGCCUCCAAAAGUGUAACGGAGGCGUACAAAGGUCGGCUUAUCCCGGAUGGAAAUCGGGAUGUAAGUGCAAACGCAAAAGCCGGCUUGACUGAGAGACUUACAAGUCGAACAGGCGCGAAAGCGGGUGUUAGUGAUCCUCGGAUCCGCCGUGGUUGCGGACCGAGCUUAACGGAUAAAAGCUACCCCGGGGAUAACAGGCUGAUCGGGCCCGAGAGUCCAUAUCGACGGCCCGGUUUGGCACCUUAUGCAAUAAGCAUCGGGGUGCCUGUGCAGUAAUGUACAAGUCUGGUCCCGAAUUGCACCUAACCCAUGCAAUUCGCGGAAAAAAUUUACUAGUCCAAAUCGGUGAACUCCUUCUCCGCCAAAUGGCGGAUCAGGACAACACCGAGGGAAUCCUUCGUUCUGAUGAACUCAGGACGGGGACCCGUAUCGACUGAUUCCCGAUACAAUUGUAUCGAGGAUGAGAUAGAAGUUCUUAAUAAAAAUUUUCCUUCUAUCAUACGGCUAGCCCCUCCGAAUCGGAGGGUGAAGGUAUAGUCAACAUCUUCCGGUAACGGAAGAACAAACGACAAGCGAUGUCGGCUCAUCCUAUCCUGGAGGUGGAGAAGCUUCCAAGGGUCCGGCUGUUCGCCGGUUAAAAGGGUACGCGAGCUGGGUUCAGAACGUCGUAAGACAGUAGACCAAUAAUGGUACGACAUCAUUAUUAAUUAGAGCUGUCUUUCCUUCAACGUUUUGGACAAUAAGAGGAAAUGAAGGAGAUCGCCCGUCCAGGGCGAAAUAAAUCUGGCUAAAUGCUGGAAAAUCCGAAGAAUCGUGUGAUACUUGAGAAGUAAUUAAAAUAGAGAUAACAUAUCUCUAUGAUCUCAAGUGAUAACUCAUCACGUGCGGACAAUCAGCAGGUAACCGAAGAAAAAAUAUCUAAUGAAUAUCUUUGUGGCUUUGUAGAUGGUGAGGGAUGUUUCUAUGUAGGAUUUGGAAAACGUACAGAUCUUCCAUUAAAAUGGCAGAUUAUUACAGAAUUCCAUUUAAGUCAAAAUCCGGGAGGGAAGAAUGUUCUCGAAACAUUUAUAAAAAGAUUAGGUUGCGGAUAUUUAAAACCUAACCACCCUGGAAGUCUAAAAGACAAGACGUGGGUUUUAAUUGUAAAAGAUAGAAAGGAUAUAAAAAAUAAAUUAAUUCCUUUCUUUUUGGAACAUCCAUUACAGACUAUAAAGAGAUUAGAAUUUUUAAUAUUUAAACAGGUAAUUGAGGUAAUAGAAAAUAAGCAACAUUUGAAUGAAAACGGAUUCAGAAGAAUAGUUGAACUCGUUUUCAGUUUGCCUAGAUCUACAAAUAAAAGAUAUUCUAAAGAUAAACUUCUUCGGCACCUCAGAGACUAUAUGCCAGACCCCACCAUGGCGGGGAAGAUAUAGUCCGAACUGUAUGGCGACAUGCAGAGUAUGGCAGAAAUGUCCAUACUCCUGAUGUAAUCAGGAUAACAAAUUGUCGGUCUCUAUCCGGUGCAAGCGUUAGAUACUUGAGGGGAGCUCUUGCUAGUACGAGAGGACUGCGAGGGAGGAAUCCCUGGUGUGCCAGUUGUGGGACUGAGUCCUGCAGCAAGCUGGAUAGCUACAUUCCUACGGGAUAAGCGCUGAAAGCAUCUGAAGCGCCAAGCCCACCCCAAGAUAAGGUAUCUUUAUGAGACCCCUUGUAGACUACAAGGUUGAUAGGCGGAAAGUGUACGCACCGCAAGGUGUUUAGCUCAUCCGUACUAAUUGGUCCAGAGU